AUACGGAGGGUGCAAGCGUUACUCGGAAUCACUGGGCGUAAAGCGCGCGCAGGCGGCUAUUUAAGUUGGAUGUGAAAGCCUACGGCUCAACCGUAGAACUGCAUCCAAAACUAUUUAGCUAGAGUGUGGGAGAGGAAGAUGGAAUUAGUUGUGUAGGGGUAAAAUCCGUAGAGAUAACUAGGAAUACCAAAAGCGAAGGCGAUCUUCUGGAACAGUACUGACGCUGAGGCGCGAAAGCGUGGGGAGCGAACAGGAUUAGAUACCCGAGUAGUCC
RNAcentral lists this ribosomal RNA (274 nucleotides) under uncultured bacterium. Its description in RNAcentral is "partial 16S ribosomal RNA". It matches the Rfam family "Bacterial small subunit ribosomal RNA", at positions 523 to 796 of the family's 1533-position model. The record is from RNAcentral.